This 1354-nucleotide ribosomal RNA is filed under the name Vibrio vulnificus. RNAcentral's name for it is "partial 23S ribosomal RNA". It matches the Rfam family "Bacterial large subunit ribosomal RNA", at positions 1478 to 2812 of the family's 2925-position model. Lineage: Bacteria; Pseudomonadati; Pseudomonadota; Gammaproteobacteria; Vibrionales; Vibrionaceae. The record is from RNAcentral.
AAGGCUAGGUGGGCCUGGCGACGGUUGUCCAGGUUCAAGUGCGUAGGCUGAGUGUUUAGGUAAAUCCGGACACUCUUAAGGCUGAGACACGACGUCGAGCUACUACGGUAGUGAAGUCAUUGAUGCCAUGCUUCCAGGAAAAGCCUCUAAGCUUCAGAUUGUAAGGAAUCGUACCCCAAACCGACACAGGUGGUCGGGUAGAGAAUACCAAGGCGCUUGAGAGAACUCGGGUGAAGGAACUAGGCAAAAUGGUACCGUAACUUCGGGAGAAGGUACGCUCUUGAUGGUGAAGUCCCUUGCGGAUGGAGCUGACGAGAGUCGCAGAUACCAGGUGGCUGCAACUGUUUAUUAAAAACACAGCACUGUGCAAAAUCGUAAGAUGACGUAUACGGUGUGACGCCUGCCCGGUGCCGGAAGGUUAAUUGAUGGGGUUAGCGUAAGCGAAGCUCUUGAUCGAAGCCCCGGUAAACGGCGGCCGUAACUAUAACGGUCCUAAGGUAGCGAAAUUCCUUGUCGGGUAAGUUCCGACCUGCACGAAUGGCGUAAUGAUGGCCACGCUGUCUCCACCCGAGACUCAGUGAAAUUGAAAUCGCUGUGAAGAUGCAGUGUACCCGCGGCUAGACGGAAAGACCCCGUGAACCUUUACUACAGCUUGGCACUGAACAUUGAAUCUACAUGUGUAGGAUAGGUGGGAGGCUUUGAAGACGUGACGCCAGUUGCGUUGGAGCCGUCCUUGAAAUACCACCCUUGUAUGUUUGAUGUUCUAACGUUGGCCCCUAAUCGGGGUUGCGGACAGUGCCUGGUGGGUAGUUUGACUGGGGCGGUCUCCUCCCAAAGAGUAACGGAGGAGCACGAAGGUGGGCUAAUCACGGUUGGACAUCGUGAGGUUAGUGCAAUGGCAUAAGCCCGCUUAACUGCGAGAAUGACGGUUCGAGCAGGUGCGAAAGCAGGUCAUAGUGAUCCGGUGGUUCUGAAUGGAAGGGCCAUCGCUCAACGGAUAAAAGGUACUCCGGGGAUAACAGGCUGAUACCGCCCAAGAGUUCAUAUCGACGGCGGUGUUUGGCACCUCGAUGUCGGCUCAUCACAUCCUGGGGCUGAAGUCGGUCCCAAGGGUAUGGCUGUUCGCCAUUUAAAGUGGUACGCGAGCUGGGUUUAGAACGUCGUGAGACAGUUCGGUCCCUAUCUGCCGUGGGCGUUGGAAGAUUGAAGGGGGCUGCUCCUAGUACGAGAGGACCGGAGUGGACGAACCUCUGGUGUUCGGGUUGUGUCGCCAGACGCAUUGCCCGGUAGCUAAGUUCGGAAUCGAUAACCGCUGAAAGCAUCUAAGCGGGAAGCGAGCCCUGAGAUGAGUCUU